Long non-coding RNA from Hippocampus zosterae (dwarf seahorse), 1924 nucleotides. RefSeq lists it as uncharacterized. The transcript is spliced from 3 exons. The record is from RefSeq and is a predicted model, not a curated record. Lineage: Eukaryota; Metazoa; Chordata; Actinopteri; Syngnathiformes; Syngnathidae.
CACACACACACACACACACACAUAAAAAAGGUCUGUACUUUUACUCAAGCAGUAUGAAGUGCAAUUUGGCAACUCCACAUUGUUAUGAAAGUGCCGAUGGCACUCAAGUCGUACUCAUUGACUCGCACGGUGUAAACAAAAAGAUUGAUACGUGACAAUAAAAGUUGUCCGUGAUGGUGUAGUGGUUCCCUCCCGUUGUGCUUCUCUUUCAUGCAGUUAAAGCUUCUUUCGCACAUUCUCUAAAAGUGGCACUUUCACUUCCAGAGAGAGUCCAUCAUCGGUCUCAGCGUGAUCAAGACCAAGCGAGGGGGAAAAAAAAAAAGCUCCUUGUCGCCACGACAACCACUUAUCAAGUCGGAGGCAGAAAGCUCGGACGUGCGGCGUCCGCUCGGCUGCGUUGCCAGGACGACGGAGGUGAUGGAGUGAAAGGAGAGCGGCAAUGCGGGUCUUGAGGACGGCUGCUGGUCAUUGCGGUGUUCAGUGCCUACCAAUGAAUGAGGCCUGGCUGGAGAAAAGAGAGAAAAACAUUGGUGGACGUAUCACAGAGUCAAAGGUGGAAAGCUUUUAGUGUCUAUGCGGCGGCACUCAGGGAAAAUACGACCCGGUCAUUUACAUUAUAUUAAGACUAAAAGAAAAGUGGAAUCCUGAAAUACUGAAACCCAUAAUUACAUUUUCAGCCUUUUCAUGUCAUGUCUAUUCAAAUGGUUCUGUGCCUUUUCUUCUCUUUCAGGCUAUUCACUUGGUGCUUUUUUUCUGGCUUGUAGCAACACUUCUCUCCGGUUAACACGAUUAUUACUAUCAUCAUAUGAAGCAUAUUGCAUUUUAUGAAACAUAAGAUAACCACGGUCUUCUGUUCCAAAUUUCAAAUUUGGCAUUUAGCAGAUAACCUCAGCAAAAAUCAUGCAGUGAUCUAUCCAUACCAUCUAUACUGGCUUCAGUAACUUCAAAUAAUCAUUUUUAUCUGCGCUUUUAUAAUUAAUGACGUACUUCACUAACAAAACUGAUCUAUUGUCGUCAUUUGAUUGGUCUCGAUCUUAACGUCGCCGAUGCUCCCUGUGGGUGUCUCAUCCAAUCGGAUUUCAGCCGGUCUGGCGUCAUCAAGAUGUGCCUUCGAAGACGUUAAGAACAUUUAUUUGCACAACAACAACAACAAAAAACAUCAUACUUUCAAAAUACAAUUUAAUGAAGAGGAACUAUUCGAUCAACCUUGAGAUUAACUAAAAAUAAAUUUUUAAAAUACCAUCAAAAAUGGAGUGACGUCUCAUUAAACCAAUCAAAAGUUGACUUUCAAAGCUUUUCUCUGAUUGGCUGACCCUGACCAGUGUGUUUGUCAUUAGCACCUGCUGUUAAUAUCAGUGCUUGUCUUGAAUUGCUAGCUUGUUUCUUUCGAGUUCUCAGGUAAAUUAGCGUGGGGAAAAGGGAAUUAUUGUCGAAAAUUAAACAAAUAAAACUCUACUACAGCUUUAUUGAACCAAGCAGUGGAAGGUUGCUGUGUUUUUCUUCUUCAAUUAACUAUCAUUUUGGCUAAGACAGUGGAAGCACAAGUACUCGUGGAGAACAACAAGGAGAAAAAAAAAAAGUCUUCAACGACUUUGAGGAGUCCCGUAAACGCCGCUGAUGGCCUCCAGGACAAAUGGUCACAAGCUCUGCGGAGCCAGCGUGGAACAAUUGGCCACCUGGGAAAAUUAGGAGGAGGCGAGGACGCGACGAGGAUGAGUAGGCGGAGGAGGAAGAGCUAAGCGGAGCUGAGGUGAGGACGGACUAAUUGGGCAGAGAAGAAUCCGUAUCAAGGUGAACGACAACGCAUACUUGUUAGCACAGCGCUACCUUGACCUGAUUUUCAUUUUUUUUCUUCGUGACAAAGUGGGGAAAAAAAGAACAUGUUCCCAGAACAGUGACUCCUAUGCUAAUAUCUUUUGCCUUU